GAAUUGAAGAGUUUGAUCAUGGCUCAGAUUGAACGCUGGCGGCAGGCUUAACACAUGCAAGUCGAACGGUAGCAGGAAGAAAGCUUGCUUUCUUUGCUGACGAGUGGCGGACGGGUGAGUAAUGCUUGGGAAUCUGGCUUAUGGAGGGGGAUAACUGUGGGAAACUGCAGCUAAUACCGCGUAUUCUCUGAGGAGGAAAGGGUGGGACCUUAGGGCCACCUGCCAUAAGAUGAGCCCAAGUGGGAUUAGGUAGUUGGUGGGGUAAAGGCCUACCAAGCCUGCGAUCUCUAGCUGGUCUGAGA
RNAcentral lists this ribosomal RNA (302 nucleotides) under Pasteurella multocida. RNAcentral describes it as "partial 16S ribosomal RNA". It matches the Rfam family "Bacterial small subunit ribosomal RNA", at positions 1 to 297 of the family's 1533-position model. Lineage: Bacteria; Pseudomonadati; Pseudomonadota; Gammaproteobacteria; Pasteurellales; Pasteurellaceae. The record is from RNAcentral.